Molecule: small nuclear RNA, 106 nt
Organism: Zalophus californianus (California sea lion)
Lineage: Eukaryota; Metazoa; Chordata; Mammalia; Carnivora; Otariidae
Source: Ensembl
GUACUUGAUUCUGCAGCACAUAUACUAAAAUUGGAAGGAUACAGAGAAGAUUAGCAUGGCCCUGUGCAAGGAUGAUAUGCAAAUUCAUGAAACGUUCCAUAUUUUU